Long non-coding RNA from Silurus meridionalis, 830 nucleotides. RefSeq lists it as uncharacterized. NCBI's taxonomy places the organism in Eukaryota, Metazoa, Chordata, Actinopteri, Siluriformes, Siluridae. The record is from RefSeq and is a predicted model, not a curated record. The transcript has 3 exons.
GAUCUAAGUUUAACUUAAAGCUAAAUCAUAUCAAACAACUAUGUAAUAAUUUCUGUGUAUUUUCUUUUCAGGUCAUAAGUAAUGACAUGGAUGAGGAACGUGACCUUCAUAUUACUGCUGUAUACAAAUUCUUCUUCUUCACUCUGUUGGAAUCCUUAUAUUUUGUACAUUUAAUAUCUAUCUUCGGCUUGAAAAUAUGAAUAUAGUGUCAUUUUAUUAGCAGUUUAUGAUACACUGUGGAUCAGAUGUCAAGGCCGUGUGGUAAAGAACAUUUUUCUUUCAUUUUAGCAAACGGAAAACGUGUGAAGUCAUUUUUGAUUGUCACCAUCAGGAGAAAAACCUAAAACCUCCGAAUUAAUUAAUUAACUAAUUGUUAGAAAUAAAAAAAUAAUGCAAUCAUCUGGCACUACUUUAUGUGUAGGUGUGAUUCGGAUGAAUUGUCGAUGAGUCGUAUGUAAAAUACGUAAUGUAAAAAAUGAAGCGUUAUUUUGAUCCAUUUAGUCAGUUUUGUUCUGCAAACAUUAAUAAAACAAAAACAAAAAAACAAAAAUUUUGGGAAGAGACCAUGAUAUCAGGUGCAGUAUUUAUCGAUCAUCACAGACUCGAGAGAUCAUCCAGAGAGCCUGCAGUGUGGAGUCCAUCCUGGACAAACUCCUGAGUCUGGGAACCAUCACUGGUGAGGAAUACCAGGAGAUUAAAAAUAAACACCACAUCUUCUACCUACAAAAACUUUCAUUCACUUCCUGCUAACUGCAUGUUUACUGCGGCUGUUCAGAUCCAAACUCCCCUAAUGUACACUCGAGAGGUUUUACUUCUUUUAAUUCACUCAA